UGGCUCAGGACGAACGCUGGCGGCGUGCCUAAUACAUGCAAGUCGAACGAACUCUGGUAUUGAUUGGUGCUUGCAUCAUGAUUUACAUUUGAGUGAGUGGCGAACUGGUGAGUAACACGUGGGAAACCUGCCCAGAAGCGGGGGAUAACACCUGGAAACAGAUGCUAAUACCGCAUAACAACUUGGACCGCAUGGUCCGAGUUUGAAAGAUGGCUUCGGCUAUCACUUUUGGAUGGUCCCGCGGCGUAUUAGCUAGAUGGUGAGGUAACGGCUCACCAUGGCAAUGAUACGUAGCCGACCUGAGAGGGUAAUCGGCCACAUUGGGACUGAGACACGGCCCAAACUCCUACGGGAGGCAGCAGUAGGGAAUCUUCCACAAUGGACGAAAGUCUGAUGGAGCAACGCCGCGUGAGUGAAGAAGGGUUUCGGCUCGUAAAACUCUGUUGUUAAAGAAGAACAUAUCUGAGAGUAACUGUUCAGGUAUUGACGGUAUUUAACCAGAAAGCCACGGCUAACUACGUGCCAGCAGCCGCGGUAAUACGUAGGUGGCAAGCGUUGUCCGGAUUUAUUGGGCGUAAAGCGAGCGCAGGCGGUUUUUUAAGUCUGAUGUGAAAGCCUUCGGCUCAACCGAAGAAGUGCAUCGGAAACUGGGAAACUUGAGUGCAGAAGAGGACAGUGGAACUCCAUGUGUAGCGGUGAAAUGCGUAGAUAUAUGGAAGAACACCAGUGGCGAAGGCGGCUGUCUGGUCUGUAACUGACGCUGAGGCUCGAAAGUAUGGGUAGCAAACAGGAUUAGAUACCCUGGUAGUCCAUACCGUAAACGAUGAAUGCUAAGUGUUGGAGGGUUUCCGCCCUUCAGUGCUGCAGCUAACGCAUUAAGCAUUCCGCCUGGGGAGUACGGCCGCAAGGCUGAAACUCAAAGGAAUUGACGGGGGCCCGCACAAGCGGUGGAGCAUGUGGUUUAAUUCGAAGCUACGCGAAGAACCUUACCAGGUCUUGACAUACUAUGCAAAUCUAAGAGAUUAGACGUUCCCUUCGGGGACAUGGAUACAGGUGGUGCAUGGUUGUCGUCAGCUCGUGUCGUGAGAUGUUGGGUUAAGUCCCGCAACGAGCGCAACCCUUAUUAUCAGUUGCCAGCAUUAAGUUGGGCACUCUGGUGAGACUGCCGGUGACAAACCGGAGGAAGGUGGGGAUGACGUCAAAUCAUCAUGCCCCUUAUGACCUGGGCUACACACGUGCUACAAUGGAUGGUACAACGAGUUGCGAACUCGCGAGAGUAAGCUAAUCUCUUAAAGCCAUUCUCAGUUCGGAUUGUAGGCUGCAACUCGCCUACAUGAAGUCGGAAUCGCUAGUAAUCGCGGA
RNAcentral lists this ribosomal RNA (1362 nucleotides) under Lactiplantibacillus plantarum. Its description in RNAcentral is "bacterial SSU rRNA". It matches the Rfam family "Bacterial small subunit ribosomal RNA", at positions 20 to 1348 of the family's 1533-position model. The record is from RNAcentral. Lineage: Bacteria; Bacillati; Bacillota; Bacilli; Lactobacillales; Lactobacillaceae.